This 491-nucleotide ribosomal RNA is filed under the name uncultured bacterium. RNAcentral's name for it is "partial 16S ribosomal RNA". It matches the Rfam family "Bacterial small subunit ribosomal RNA", at positions 29 to 507 of the family's 1533-position model. The record is from RNAcentral.
AGUGAACGCUGGCGGUAGGCCUAACACAUGCCAGUCGAACGGCAGCACAGUAAGAGCUUGCUCUUACGGGUGGCGAGUGGCGGACGGGUGAGGAAUACAUCGGAAUCUACUUUUUCGUGGGGGAUAACGUAGGGAAACUUACGCUAUACCGCAUACGACCUACGGGUGAAAGCAGGGGAUCUUCGGACCUUGCGCGAUUGAAUGAGCCGAUGUCGGAUUAGCUAGUUGGCGGGGUAAAGGCCCACCAAGGCGACGAUCCGUAGCUGGUCUGAGAGGAUGAUCAGCCACACUGGAACUUAGACACGGUCCAGACUCCUACGGGAGGCAGCAGUGGGGAAUAUUGGACAAUGGGCGCAAGCCUGAUCCAGCCAUACCGCGUGGGUGAAGAAGGCCUUCGGGUUGUAAAGCCCUUUUGUUGGGAAAGAAAAGCAGCAGGUUAAUACCCCGCUGUUCUGACGGUACCCAAAGAAUAAGCACCGGCUAACUUCGUG